Molecule: ribosomal RNA, 490 nt
Filed under: uncultured bacterium
Lineage: Bacteria
Description: bacterial SSU rRNA
Rfam family: Bacterial small subunit ribosomal RNA
Source: RNAcentral
AGUGAACGCUGGCGGCAGGCCUAAUACAUGCAAAUCGAACGGCAGCACAGCAGAGCUUGCUCUGUGGGUGGCGAGUGGCGGACGGGUGAGGAAUACAUGGGAAUCUGCCCAGUCGUGGGGGAUAACGUAGGGAAACUUACGCUAAUACCGCAUGCGCCCUUCGGGGGAAAGCCGGGGACCUUCGGGCCUGGCGCGAUUGGAUGAGCCCAUGUCGGAUUAGCUAGUUGGCGGGGUAAUGGCCCACCAAGGCGACGAUCCGUAGCUGGUCUGAGAGGAUGAUCAGCCACACUGGAACUGAGACACGGUCCAGACUCCUACGGGAGGCAGCAGUAGGGAAUAUUGGACAAUGGGCGCAAGCCUGAUCCAGCCAUGCCGCGUGAGUGAAGAAGGCCCUCGGGUUGUAAAGCUCUUUUGUCCGGAAAGAAAAGCGCCGGGUUAAUACCCUGGUGUCCUGACGGUACCGGAAGAAUAAGCACCGGCUAACUUCGUG